This 333-nucleotide ribosomal RNA is filed under the name uncultured bacterium. RNAcentral describes it as "bacterial SSU rRNA". It matches the Rfam family "Bacterial small subunit ribosomal RNA", at positions 173 to 507 of the family's 1533-position model. The record is from RNAcentral.
UAGUAUAGCAAUUUCGCAUGAAACCACUAUUAAAGUUCCAACGGUGAAAGAUGAGCAUGCGUCCCAUUAGCUAGAUGGUAAGGUAACGGCUUACCAUGGCUACGAUGGGUAGGGGUCCUGAGAGGGAGAUCCCCCACACUGGUACUGAGACACGGACCAGACUCCUACGGGAGGCAGCAGUGAGGAAUAUUGGUCAAUGGACGCAAGUCUGAACCAGCCAUGCCGCGUGCAGGAUGACGGUCCUAUGGAUUGUAACUGCUUUGUACGAGAAGAAACAACAUUACGUGUAAUGUCUUGACGGUAUCGUAAGAAUAAGGAUCGGCUAACUCCGUG